AAAAAGGCAAACCCUGGGUUUGCGUGUCCAACUUUGACUGCCCGUCUUAUAUAAAUUUUUUUUAUAAUUCGUAUUUUUAUUGGUGUCAGAUGAUAAAACAUGAUUAAUACUUUAUGCGUGACUUGUUUUUUUAAUUUUUUUUAUAAUUUUUUCAAAUAAGAUAGACGGUCAAAUAUUGGGCAUGGAAAUCAGGGUU
RNAcentral lists this microRNA precursor (196 nucleotides) under Oryza sativa Indica Group (long-grained rice). Its description in RNAcentral is "MIR812 microRNA precursor family". It matches the Rfam family "MIR812 microRNA precursor family". Lineage: Eukaryota; Viridiplantae; Streptophyta; Magnoliopsida; Poales; Poaceae. The record is from Rfam by way of RNAcentral.